RNAcentral lists this ribosomal RNA (750 nucleotides) under Starmerella etchellsii. RNAcentral's name for it is "LSU rRNA". The stretch from base 150 to 750 matches the Rfam family "Eukaryotic large subunit ribosomal RNA", at positions 1 to 707 of the family's 3401-position model. Lineage: Eukaryota; Fungi; Ascomycota; Dipodascomycetes; Dipodascales; Trichomonascaceae. The record is from RNAcentral.
GCGCUUCUAGGAUCUCCUAGUAGCAUGCUUGUUGGAGCGCCGAACUUUCUCUCUAAUCUACUUCUUGUGGAUUACGAGGUGUUGCUCCUUAUUGGAGUCAAAGAAAUGGAACAGCACACGUUAAUAACUCUGUGCAGUAAUAUUUUUUAUGGCCCCCAAUCAAGCAAGAUUACCCGCCGAACUUAAGCAUAUCAAUAAGCGGAGGAAAAGAAACCAACAGGGAUUGCCCUAGUAACGGCGAGUGAACAGGCAAGAGCUCAGAUUUGAAAGCCUUUUUGGCAUUGUAUUCUGAAGUCAGUUUCCUGAGUAUCGGUGUUUAAGUCUUCUGGAAAGGAGCGCCAUGGAGGGUGAUAGCCCCGUACGACACCUCACUCAUUGUAGGAUUCUGACGUGGAGUCGAGUUGUUUGGGAAUGCAGCUCAAAAGGGUGGUAUGCUCCAUCUAAAGCUAAAUAUCUGUGAGAGACCGAUAGCGAACAAGUACUGUGAAGGAAAGAUGAAAAGAACUUUGAAAAGAGAGUGAAAAAGUACGUGAAAUUGUUGAAAUGGAAGGAUAUGCCGCUAACAAUGUAGAGCCGUGUUUGGGGGGAAGACAAAAGCUGAAGAAUGUAUCUCUUUUAGGGAAUUAUAACUUCAGUCAAUAUUCCCAUCCGGGCGCGAGGACCUCAGGCUCUACUAAAUGGUGGUCUAUCACCCGUCUUGAAACACGGACCAAGGAGUCUAUUGCCUGCGCGAGUAUUUGGGUGGCAAAC